This 84-nucleotide transfer RNA is filed under the name Clostridia bacterium. RNAcentral describes it as "tRNA-Ser". It matches the Rfam family "tRNA". From Rfam's summary of the family: Transfer RNA (tRNA) molecules are approximately 80 nucleotides in length. Their secondary structure includes four short double-helical elements and three loops (D, anti-codon, and T loops). The record is from RNAcentral. Lineage: Bacteria; Bacillati; Bacillota; Clostridia.
GGAGGGAUAUCGAAGUGGUCAUAACGAGGCGGUCUUGAAAACCGUUUGCCGACAGGCACGUGGGUUCGAAUCCCACUCCCUCCG